Molecule: ribosomal RNA, 524 nt
Filed under: uncultured bacterium
Lineage: Bacteria
Description: partial 16S ribosomal RNA
Rfam family: Bacterial small subunit ribosomal RNA
Source: RNAcentral
GACGAAUGCUGGCGGCGUGCCUAAUACAUGCAAGUCGAACGAAGCUGUUUUAACUGGUGCUUGCACCGACUUAAACAACUGAGUGGCGAACGGGUGAGUAACACGUGGGUAACCUGCCCCAAAGCGGGGGAUAACAUUUGGAAACAAAUGCUAAUACCGCAUAACCACAGAAACCACAUGGUUUCUGUGUCAAAGAUGGUUUUGGCUAUCACUUUGGGAUGGACCCGCGGCGUAUUAGCUAGUUGGUAAGGUAAUGGCUUACCAAGGCAAUGAUACGUAACCGAAAUGAGAGGUUGAUCGGCCACAUUGGGAAGGAGACACGGCCCAAACUCCUACGGGAGGCAGCAGUAGGGAAUCUUGCACAAUGGACGAAAGUCUGAUGGAGCAACGCCGCGUGAGUGAAGGAGGUUUUCGGAUCGUAAAACUCUGUUGUCAGGGAAGAACGUGUGCGAGAGUAACUGUUCGUGCAGUGACGGUAUCUGGCCAGAAAGCCACGGCUAACUACGUGCCAGCCGCCGCCGUAA